AUUGGAGCCUAGUCCUUCUGGACCCGGCCAGUUUAGCUUCUUUCCCGCGCCGGCGGAGCAUUUACGUGGACCUCAGGAAGCUCUCAGUCUAGUCCUAGCGACCCACAACCAACCGGGGUUCGUGCCGGCACGCGGUGCAGACACUAUUGAUCACUUCUUAGGGAUCGAGCACUUGAUAUCAACUGUUACUACUGUCCGUAAACUGAUUAGACAUACAAAUUUAGUUGUUUUCCCCAGGUUACAAGUCAGAGACGGAGGCUCUUAGAAAUGAAGUGAGCUACGAUUCAAACACAAGUCUUUAGAUUUCCUUUGUCCUUUUUAGUCUGUGGCAUGAGUUACAUAAUAGUCUUUCCUUGAUAGUGUAAAGGAAGGUCAAACUAAAAGCUUGGUGUGUGUGUUUGUGAGAGAGACAUACACAGUGUUGCGGCAAUACAGAUGUUUGCCUCUAGCCUGGGGAGGGCACUUAUGCAGAGGGGCCAAGACAGGAAACUUGACGUCACUAUGGGCAGUAGAGAAUAUCAUCCAAGACUUAAGUGAAGCAGACCUGUCAGGCUGGGACUAAGCAAUUCAUUUUGGCUAGAAGCUAUUGCCCAGUACAACAGACUCUAUUCUUCAUCACCUGAGGCUAUUAGCCAACAGAAGGUGUGGACAAAUGUUUAGGGAAGGCAGAAGCCAUGCCUUUGAGAAGAUCUGCUUCCACAAAAUUACUCUUCUUUAAUGGUAACUUGCCAAAAGCCUGCUGUCCCGAUACUUAAAUGCAUUAAAAAAAAAAAUCUGUUCUGUGGAAAA
Rattus norvegicus (Norway rat) is the source of this 789-nucleotide non-coding RNA. Lineage: Eukaryota; Metazoa; Chordata; Mammalia; Rodentia; Muridae. The record is from RefSeq and is a predicted model, not a curated record.